AGCUCAUUUGGUAGAGCAUUUGUCUCAAGAACAAAGUGUAGCAGGUUCGAUUCCUGCC
RNAcentral lists this transfer RNA (58 nucleotides) under Okeania sp. SIO2F4. RNAcentral describes it as "tRNA-Leu". It matches the Rfam family "tRNA", at positions 9 to 64 of the family's 71-position model. From Rfam's summary of the family: Transfer RNA (tRNA) molecules are approximately 80 nucleotides in length. Lineage: Bacteria; Bacillati; Cyanobacteriota; Cyanophyceae; Oscillatoriales; Microcoleaceae. The record is from RNAcentral.